Molecule: long non-coding RNA, 708 nt
Organism: Octopus bimaculoides (California two-spot octopus)
Lineage: Eukaryota; Metazoa; Mollusca; Cephalopoda; Octopoda; Octopodidae
Source: RefSeq, a predicted model, not a curated record
AAGCUUAUUACCACACAGCUAAGUCUGCACCUACACACACAUUCAUACAUACAAAGGCAAUAAGAGAGCCUCUGCGUGGUUUCUCAAACUGUUAGAAAUAGCAGCCAAAUAUCUCUCUCAAAUAACACGGAGUCAAACACUGUAUACCUGGAUACACAAAAAAGGUGGGAUGGUCAUGACUGAAAUGUCUUUCUUCAGAGUAACUCCAGGUUAGCCCUGAGCGAACAGAUCUAUGAGGAAAGGCAUUCUGCAACACAACGUACGAGGUGGAUCAUCCAAGUAGAACAAAUGGCUGUUGAUGACAUAACUUCAUCUUACACCGGUAAAUAUCUAGCAGCAGAGGGCGCUUCUCGUCAGCACCCCCCCCCCUCUGACAUGGCAGUAAUUGAUUCCGACAGGAAUGUGAAAUUGUUGGUUAUUACUGGUGUUGUUAGAGAAGCCGGCUGCAUGAGACAUGGCUCAUCAUCAGCGGGCCGCACUACUAAAAAAAGAUUGAAGGUGAUUUUUUUUUGUUAGACAUUCUGAAAGUCCCGCAGGCUGCCUAAAACCGGACUAGGCCAACUUCUUCGUCAUCAUCCGACUUCCUAGAAUUAGCAGCCAAAUCUCUUUUAAAUCAUUUCCUACCGUUUUCAAACAAGAAAGAAAAGUUAGAAUAAUUUAUUUAACUGUCAUUACCUUGAAUAAAAUACGAGAUGGUUACAACUGGAA